UCGAUUAUAUGGAAACCCUCUAAUUUGCAAUUGUCCAUUAGUCGACAUUGUUCUCUUGGUGAAAAGAAGACGAUUACAGUGAGUUUUCCGUCCUUCCUGUCACAACCCUGUGACUCUAAGAAAAACAUUGCUGAUGGACCUGAAACUUCAAGAAGUAAUUUGUGAUUCAGAUUCCACCACUGGUUCUACCGGCGUGGAAACAACAGUUCCUAAUUCCAUCCCAGUUUCCACUGAUGCAGAAACUGGCUUUACAACAAUAACCGGAUUUGGCAAGUAUUCAACAUGUACCAAAAAUUUUGAACAAUGUAUAAAACACUGAUUUGUAAAGUAGCAAUUUACAGUAUACGUCAAAGACACUUGAUGCAUGAAUUAUCAGCAAUGAAUGACAUUGUAUCUCUUGCUGCUAAUAUCAUUGAAAACAUCGAUUUGAAAUGGCUUUAACGUUUGAAGAAUUCCAAUCCAUCUGGUAAACUCCUUGUGUAGAGAUUGGAUUAUUGUCCAAUAUAUAAACUGCCCUUGGCAUCAGAAGUAAGUUUGUUAUUUUAUGUUGUUAUUUACAAAUAUUAUGAAAUAUCCUAUAAAUGCAUAUACAUGCGCAUAUAUAUAUGUACAGAUACAUCUCUAAUGUUAACAAUUUACCUAAAUACAACUGUGUGCCGUGAGUAGAAUCUAAUUUAAUGCGAUUUCGAAUUUGACUUUUAGACAAUACAGACAUCUGACAUCUAUCUACAUAUUCAGACCUGUCGUGUUUGAUGCGUUGCUAAUUAAGGUGUUAUCAGUAGAACGUGGAAACAGUGAUAUCAUUCUCAUUCAGCUGACAAUGCGAGUCAAAUGAAUCUUUGCGUGAUCCUGAUAAAUUGUAAAGUUGUGAUUUUGACCUGAGGUAAACUUGCACAACAAUUUAAUAUUAGUUAUUGUUUCAAAAGUGUCAUGCAUGUAUCUUCAUUUGAUAAGGAAAAAUGAUGAUACCUUUAUACAUUUCAAAUGAAUUUCCGUAAUGUAACAUAUAUUGCAAAACAGCAAAACACUUUUUUUUUCAUUCAUGUAUUGAAAUACAUCAAACGAACACACAAUGAAAAGUGAUGAAUUAGAACAGCUCACAAAUCAAUACAACCACGGAGGAUUCAUCGAUGCACUGCUACCUAGAGAUCGUGAGAGACGUGUAUCCCUGUCCUUAUCCCUGGUGGGCAUUUAUAUCCAUAUAUUCAACUCUGGUGUGUAUUUAUAUUCCAUUUGUCAAUCCUGGUGAGUACAACUAUUUCUUUCUCUAUAGAAUAAGCUACUAUAGAACUAAACUACACCACUAUGUAUAAGUUACACGUUUACCUUUUGCUUGGUAUCUACAAGAUUUAAUUUUACUCGGUAUGUGUAUGCCAUACAUUUACUUUGUAUAGAUCGACAUGGUAUGUGUUUACUUGGUAAGUACAGGGUAUAAGUGUUCUUGGUAUGUAUAAGUCAUGUGUUUACAUCGUAUACACAAGUUACACGGUUACGUUUUUCUUGGUAUCUACAAUGCUUAAUUUUACUCGGUAUGUAUAUACAUGUAUCAUACAUUUACUGUGUAUCUACAUGGCAUGUGUUUACUUGGUAAGUACAAGGUAUAAGCGUUCUCGGUAUGAAUAAGUCAUGUGUUUACAUCGUAUACACAAGUUACACGUUUACCUUUUGCUUGGUAUCUACAAUGUUUAAUUUUACUCGGUAUGUAUAUACAUGUAUCAUACAUUUACUGUGUAUCUACAUGGUAUGUGUUUACUUGGUAAGUACAGGGUAUAAGUGUUCUUGGUAUGUAUAAGUCAUGUGUUUACACCGUAUACACAAGUUACACGUUUAACUUUUGCUUGGUAUCUACAAUGUUUAAUUUUACUCGGUAUGUAUAUACAUGUAUCAUACAUUUACUGUGUAUCUACAUGGUAUGUGUUUACUUGGUAAGUACAAGGUAUAAGUGUUCUUGGUAUGUAUAAGUCGUGUUUACACCGUAUACACAAGUUAUUCGUUCACUCACUAUGCGCGUAUUUUGUACAUCUAGGGAGAUGAGGGAUGGAAUAAAGAAUUGCAUUGCUUGCAUGUUUAUUGUACUUAGUGCAAUGACGGCACUAAUCACAUACAUGGGAUAUCGUAAGUUUUCAAUAUUUAUUUUAUUAUUUAUUUCUAUUAUCGUAUUUGAACAUUUCAGGAGAUCAGAAUAGUAGAUAUGUAAAUUACUGUGGUUCAACAAUGGCGCGAUCUGCUGUGAGAUUUUGUUUUUGGAGCGGGUCAGAUACUGACGGGCAGAUUUUCAGACAACCACAUAGUCCCUUGGGGAUCCGGGUUAGAAUAGGUCCUCAGUACCCCCUUGCUUGUCGUAAGAGAGGACUAAAUCUGGCAGUCCUUUGGAUGAGACCGUAAAAACCGAGGCCCCGUGUCACAGCAGCUGUGACACGAUAAAGAUCCCUCCCUGCUCAAUGGUCAUAAGCGCCGAGGAUAGGCCUAAAUUUUACAGCCCUUCACCGGCAGUGGGGACGUCUCCAUAUGAGUGAAAUAUUCUGGAGAGGGACGUUAAACAAUAUUCAACCAAUCAUAUUAUUUUUCUGUUGAAUUGAAUUUUGUCAUUUUCUGUAGAUACAAAUUUCUCACAAUGCCUCUUUGUCAUUAUGGAGCUUUUACAUUUUACCGAAAUAUCGUUGAAAUUUUUAUUUCAGAUUAAAAUUCAGACACACAGAUGGGUUUCAAACAUUCCAUUCUUCAUAGAAAUCAAAGCUGUAUCCACUAAGCCGCUGGCGUUGAUGACAUUUGUUGAAAAAAUAAACAGAUGUUCUAUAUGCAAAACGUAACCUGUUUGGCAUAUAUGGAACCAUUUCCCCUGACAUUUAAAUUCUGCCCGGGAAUAUUUCAAGAACAAUAUGUUGAGGAGUGUUUACAAAUGAUGAAUGCUGGAUAGUACGAGAUAAGCAUUAUAUCACCAGUAAGAGAAGGAGCAAUAUCGGCAUUUGAUGACUUGCACCCUGCCCACCGGACAUGCCACUACUGCCACUCCAGUUCACUCGGUUAUACAUUGAAUUAGUAUUGGCUUCGGCUGGAGGGAGAGGUCAGCCUGUGAUGGACUGGUGUCUCAUUCUGCGGGAAUUUGUUGCUCUUAUCCGUUAACCACUUAACAUUCCGACGAACGACCAUAUAGAGACGUCACCAAUGCCGGUGAAGGGCGGCAAAAUUUAGGCCUAUGCUUGGAGUUUACAUCUUUUGAGCAGGGGGUCUUGAUCCUGACACACCUGCUGUGACGUAGGGCAUCGGGUUUUGUUGUCUUAUCCGAAGGACCGCCCCAUUUAGUCGCCUCUUACGACAAGCAGGAAUACUGAGGACCUAUUCUAACCCGGAUCACGGAGGUGCAUCGGCCAUAAUCAGAUCCACAAAAAUUCCACAGGAAACCAACCAACAGGACGGACACAGAAUUGUGUACACUCGAUUUAAGAUGUAGAUAUUAAACUUAAUUUCUAUCAAUAUGUUGAGGAGUGUAUACAUGUGAUAACUAUGUGACGAUACACAAUGUACUGUCUGUAAUCGUAAAUAAACGAUAACAUACGUGUUGUAAUAAUCUGUCGUCAACUGGCUAGAAAAUUACGUUUUGUUUGAAUAAAAUAUUUUAUUUAGGCAUGG
This is a long non-coding RNA of Ostrea edulis (European flat oyster), 3630 nucleotides long. RefSeq lists it as uncharacterized. Lineage: Eukaryota; Metazoa; Mollusca; Bivalvia; Ostreida; Ostreidae. The record is from RefSeq and is a predicted model, not a curated record. The transcript has 8 exons.